CCGUAUCAAAUGUUAAAGAUAAAAACAAUGUUGUUGU
Molecule: small RNA, 37 nt
Filed under: Anaerobutyricum hallii
Lineage: Bacteria; Bacillati; Bacillota; Clostridia; Lachnospirales; Lachnospiraceae
Description: CRISPR_Spacer
Source: RNAcentral